Molecule: long non-coding RNA, 5200 nt
Filed under: Musa acuminata (dwarf banana)
Lineage: Eukaryota; Viridiplantae; Streptophyta; Magnoliopsida; Zingiberales; Musaceae
Description: long non-coding RNA (MACU_LNC004783)
Source: RNAcentral
AAAGUGAUGGAGGGGAAUUGAUGGACAAAAGAGAGCUUAUUUGCAUUGUUUAUUGCAACUCUGACAUACUCUGCAUUCUUUUUUGCCAUUUCAACUCUGCGGAGCUUUGUUUCUUAACUUGACAUGCCACAAUCUUUCAGCUUGCCAACCAUUACAGUGUUAUCAUAUUAGGAUCUUCUCAAUGAUUUGGGUUACAAUAAUAACAGGUGUAAUGGUUCUUUUUCUCUGGACACAGCGAGAUGCCACCACCAUCACCAACAAUUCCAUGGUUUCAAGAUCUGUUCGAGACAAGGCUCACUCACAGCUCCACUUCCAUGACUUGCUCAGUCUUCAGCUUGAUCUCUCCUCCGCAGCUGGAACCAAGAGGUGGUGAAUCAAAUCCACAUUGUGCUCGCAAUACCUGGUCAAAAUAUGCAGGAUUAAUCAAGAUGAUAAGAUUGCAUAAAUAUAUGACAAAGAAAUUGGAUCUGUCACUGGCCACUAUGGAUUGUUUAAGAGCUACAUAACAGUGUUGGGUGGUGCACAGUGCAUAAACUAUGAGUGAUAGAUAAAGAUGAUGAAUGAUAAGACAUAGGACUUCGUGGGAAGAAGUCUUAAAUUGGCAUAAAAUAAAUAAAGUCGGUUGUUUUAUGGUCAAAGAUUCGACAGAUAUAAGAAAAAUACUUAUCAUGAGAACAUAUUAUUAUUCAACAGUGAGAUCUUUGAGGAUAUUGUGAUGAAGACAUAACAACAGUUAUUUAGUGUUUACACAAUGUACCAACAGGGGUAUGUUUUCAAUGGUAGAAUUAAAUUUCAUCAAACACAGAAUGCAAUAUUGUUUGCAACAAUAAUUUAUCAAACUGUGGGAUGCUAUGUGGAAGUGCCAACCCUAAAAUAUUUAUGGGCAUGGCCAUAAAUUUUGAUUGCUUAAAAAUCAACUAUUACUAAUUUCAAACAACUGCUAAUAUUUAAUUGAUUUAGAGGUUAGGAAUUGCUAUCAUGUUUGAUGUUGAUAUUUCUUGUUGUCUUGAACACUCAAAAAGCAUAUCAAUCACACAAGAAAUAGAGAAAGAAACAUCAAUACACCUCAUACCUACAGAAUAUCCAUCCAUUCUAGCUUCUCAAAGUUAAGCCAUUUAGGUAGGUUUUGCAAGAUCAUCUCAAUGAGCUCUAGGAAUAGAUUCUUCUGUCACAUAAUUUGAUCCUACCACCGCAUGUGAGGCUCUGAUCCCUAGCAUAUUAUAAUCAAAUUCAUCGUGAUUAUAUAUCGCAUUUCGGGAACCGAGCUUGCUUAGAGCCACCAAUAAAUUAAUCAAAUUUUCCUUAUACUCUUCUUCAUCAUUGAUAUAAACACUACAAUAGAUAUAAAAAAACACUAAUUGAUUACAUGGGUCCAAACAAGAAGGCUUCUUUGGCUUUUGAUUUCACCUAGCAUUUUUACUCCUCAAAUGUAAUGGUCUGUCAAUGGAAAAAAGAUGACUGACUCAAAGCAUAAAGCCAAUGGAGCUCAACCUUACUCACGUAGGGAAAAGGGCAGUAGAUUCCUUAGAUGCCUCACUGGGGAUUAGAGUAUGUGAGACUUUGUCAUCACCCAAUGGGCAUCUCCCAUGUGUCCCAAUCCUUUUAUAUGAUUUGGGGCCCUACAUGUCAAAAGCUUGGGAAGGUUGUGUGUAGGGUACAUAUUUAAUGUGGCCAACCCCCCCAGCAUGACUGUAAAAGAAGAGACUAGUGUGCAUGGGAUUAGUUGGCAUGGCACUCCUUUUGGGAAAAGCUCAAACAAAGGAGCAAACAUGGACAGGGUGGGGAUUCCAGAUCUGUCAGGGUUUGGUCCACCCUAAGUUUUCCACCAAGGACCCCACCAUAGAUAUAGGAACAAUUUGUGAUACCCCAUUUCAUCAAUUCAUUCCCCAGUCCAAGUACAUUGCAAAAAGUCUCACCUUGCAUGAAUGAUUAAUGUUAUGCAAUCUUAUUUCUAUAAAGAGAGAUUAUUUUGGUGACUUGAAUCCUAAUUAUUUAGAGGCAUGUGAUUAUCGAGAAGUUGACAUCACUUGUGAAUCAUUCCUUAUAAAUUUUUUUUUCUAACCCUAAGCAUAAAUUAUAUAGCACACACUACUAGUUAGUUUAAUCAUAGGAUUAAAAUAGUCAUACCCAAGUCCAAGUCCAAGCCAUGACAUAAUGUUUGAGGUUUCAAUACCCAUUCCUUAUAUGAUAAUGCCAUUAGUGACUAAAUAAUUAUAUUACUACAUCAAUCAACCACAAGGACUCCAUAAUAUGAACCCAAAUGUUAUAAAUGGAAUUAAGAAUGCUCAUAAUUUACACAUAAUGGAUCAGCUCAAGAAUUAAAUGCAGAAGGAACAAGAAAAAGAGAAACAGGAAUGUGAAAGAAAAACUCAAUUAGGCACAUCAAACUUCACAUAAGAGAAAGUGCUCGUCACUAUGGGCAAAAAUGAAAAUAGAUGCACAAGAUGUUAAGCAAGGUUUCGAACCCUCGAUCUACAGAUGCACAUGUUAAACAAGAUUUCGAACCCUCGAUCUAGAGAUGCACAAAAUGUUAAACAAGGUUUCGAACCCUCGAUCUAGAGAUGCACAAGAUGUUAAGCAAGGAUUCAAACCCUUGAUCUAAAAGAAUGAGACCUGAAUAUACAUCAUCAAACUAACUGGUUGAUUGUUCCUAUAAUGUGUUGAAUGAGAGAAGAUGUGGUUGGGAUUGGGUGAUAAAUGCAUUUCCUCCAAUGAACACAACAUCAUGAUGCCAUGGGAUUCAGCAGGUGCUCCCUUCCCUUACAAACAUCUCUUGUAACAUUUACCUCAGGACCAUUUCUAGACCUCAUCCUAUUCCCACAAAGGUUUUGUUACCUUCCCUAACAUGAUAUGAUCCCAUCUACCUUGUAUUGGACCUACCCUAUUCCCCUUGAUCUACAAGAACCCUUAUAAUUGUAGUUCCUUCUUUCCUGGUAAGGUUGAAAGAGACUUUUAAAGCCAUUACCAAGAGUACCAUGAAUGCACCCACUAUCUAUGUGAAAGUCCCUUCACAAAUAUCUAUUACUAGGUGGGAAAAAAGGAUAAGGUUGUAAAGUUAUGAUAAAAGAAUUAACAUUGAGAAGGGCCGGACAGAGAAUUAGAAGUCCAGAUAUAAUGACCAAUGGAAAAUGGAGUUAAUGAACAUGCCAUUAAUUUAUCAUGGUGAAGAAAGAAAGCAUGGGUAAGAUAGUGGCAGUACAUCUCAACUGCAUUUGAAGACCUAACAAUGCCAUGUGACAACUAUUUAAAAUCUAAGAGUUUGGUUGUAAGAGUAGGUGGAUAGAGUGACAACAAUAGUGAUGAUCUUUUGGGGUCAUCAGUAUCCUCUCUAUUGCAAUAUGAAUCCAUUUCAAGAUCCCUCAGUGUAUUUGACUUCAAUAAUGGAAAGAAGUAAAGACAGAUCUUGACUCAAAAUAUUUUUGCCAGAAACUGGAUUUUACUAGUAAUUUUGAGCGGUUCUCUCUCAAGUUUUUGAUACAGAAGGACAAGAAAGUAUUAGAGCUAUCUUAGACUCCAAUUCAUGGAUCGCCUCUUUCAGGCAUUUCCUUAGAUAGAAAACUGCCUUGAAGAAAGUAAAUAACAAAACCUAAUCAAUGUACAUUUUGCACACCUACAUCCAAUAGGAAACAUGCUAUGGGUAGGGUGGUUAGAAAAAUAAAGGUUCUUUGGUGAUAAUCUAUGAACCAUAUCAAAAUAAUAUAGAAAUGGUUACAAACAAUAUGAACAAGAAAUUAUAUUAUAUCUUGUAGCUAACCUUGACCUUGAGCCUUUGAGAAAUAAUCCAACCUACUUGAAUUAUAUCCAUGCAACAACAGUUGUUGCAUGCUUGAUCUUCUCUCUCCUUACUCUUGUUUACAUUUGUUCAAUAGAGAUGAGAACAAACAAACUAGUAGUCUAAAAGUAGAGUGAGGAAGGGGGGCCACCAACCAUUUUAUGUUACCCAGGAUGAUUCCCACUUAUCAAAGAGUCAUAACAAUUAAUUCUAGCUAUCAAAAAGUCUGAAUGUUUCUUUUUAUUUUUCCAAGAUGACUCGAAUACAAGAAAGAUAUAUGCAUUGUAUUUUUGGAGAAAAUAAGCUUGAGUCACAUUAAUUUCAGAGUUAUGAGAAGAUAAAUAAUUUCUCUCACCUACAUUUUGCAUAUGUUACAACUCCAAAAGUCUAAUCUUCAUCGAAGUCAAAUUUAAGAAAGCAUGUGUGUGAUUGUGAAGGAGACAUUUGAGAAAAUAUUUUUACAAGGAUAACACACCUAGUACCUUGUAACUUCCUUUCUAUAUUUAUCAAGAUCACAUUACCUUUAAUGCUAUUAAACAAUUUCCAUCCAAUAAAUCACCUUAUCAAUGGAUAGGCAGACGUGUUUAAAGGAUCCUUUGCUUCUUAAACCACACCAUUUCCUUUACGAUUGUCAGUCAUACUGGAUGAGUGUUGUAGCACAAAUCAACCUGAUGGAAUUUCAUGGCCACGAAACUGAGAAUCCUUAUCAUAGGAUGCUUCUUUUACCAAAUGCUUUUGCUUUCAACAAUACAUAUACCUGCCAAAGGAAAGAGCAAGUGAGUCCUUCAUAAGCACACAGAAAGAGACACAGUAGUACUCAACAAAGGAUGAUAGCAAUAAAAAGGCCAGUAGAAGAGUCAAACAACAAGUUAAACUUUGUACAAGGAGUUAAACAACAAGCACCACAGUUAACUCUUCCACAAUCAACUUGAAAAGAUUAAGUUCCUUAACAUAUGUGGAAUCACGAUUAAAAGAUUUAGUUCACUACUCAAGCAAGAGACACAGAUUUAAGAUCAAGAAAAGAAAAAAAGGAUCAUGCUGAGACUUCGAUGAAUGUUCAAACAAAUCAGCUUCCCCUUCAUUGGUUCAAACUAAGAUGAUCAGUCCCGAUAUGGUAGCGACCGAAGGUCGAACUGAGGGAGCUUCAGGACCAACAAAUAGAAAGCCUGUGAAUCCAAAGAAUAUCCCCUGGUAGCAAUUCGAACAAAUUUGAUGGAUAAAGCACAAGGAAACCCAUCAUUCCAUCACCAAAUCACGACAUAUCAAGCAUAAAAAUUUUCUAAUCGUCUACCAUUAAUCGACAAAGUUAACGCUCAAUACAAACUCGUCGAAUCCGUUCCAAGUACACCACGAACUUCUCUUUCCUUAUCGACUCCCCUCACAAAAUCACAUUUUUGGCCCCGAAAUCGUCGUGUGAAUCAGCAAUGA